This 480-nucleotide ribosomal RNA is filed under the name uncultured bacterium. Its description in RNAcentral is "bacterial SSU rRNA". It matches the Rfam family "Bacterial small subunit ribosomal RNA", at positions 49 to 524 of the family's 1533-position model. The record is from RNAcentral.
UAACACAUGCAAGUCGAACGGCAGCACGGGCUUCGGCCUGGUGGCGAGUGGCGAACGGGUGAGUAAUACAUCGGAACGUGCCCUGUAGUGGGGGAUAACUAGUCGAAAGAUUAGCUGAUACCGCAUACGACCUGAGGGUGAAAGCGGGGGACCGCAAGGCCUCGCGCUACAGGAGCGGCCGAUGUCUGAUUAGCUAGUUGGUGGGGUAAGAGCCUACCAAGGCGACGAUCAGUAGCUGGUCUGAGAGGACGAUCAGCCACACUGGGACUGAGACACGGCCCAGACUCCUACGGGAGGCAGCAGUGGGGAAUUUUGGACAAUGGGGGCAACCCUGAUCCAGCAAUGCCGCGUGUGUGAAGAAGGCCUUCGGGUUGUAAAGCACUUUUGUCCGGAAAGAAAUGGCCUGGGAUAAUACCCCGGGUCGAUGACGGUACCGGAAGAAUAAGCACCGGCUAACUACGUGCCAGCAGCCGCGGUAAU